RNAcentral lists this ribosomal RNA (21 nucleotides) under Aureobasidium pullulans. RNAcentral describes it as "partial 18S ribosomal RNA". Lineage: Eukaryota; Fungi; Ascomycota; Dothideomycetes; Dothideales; Saccotheciaceae. The record is from RNAcentral.
UCCGUAGGGUGAACCUGCGGA